GCCUUCGUGGCGUAGUCGUCAGCACACUCGACGCGUAUUCGAGAGAUCCGUGGUUCGAGUCCCGGCGAUGGCA
Non-coding RNA from Stegodyphus mimosarum, 73 nucleotides. Lineage: Eukaryota; Metazoa; Arthropoda; Arachnida; Araneae; Eresidae. The record is from Rfam.